RNAcentral lists this ribosomal RNA (504 nucleotides) under uncultured bacterium. Its description in RNAcentral is "partial 16S ribosomal RNA". It matches the Rfam family "Bacterial small subunit ribosomal RNA", at positions 28 to 507 of the family's 1533-position model. The record is from RNAcentral.
GACGAACGCUGGCGGCGUGCCUAAUACAUGCAAGUAGAACGCACAGUUUAUACCGUAGCUUGCUACACCAUAGACUGUGAGUUGCGAACGGGUGAGUAACGCGUAGGUAACCUGCCUGGUAGCGGGGACAACCAUUGGAAACGAUAGCUAAUAUCCCCUAAAAUUGAUUUUUGCAAGAUUAUUGAUUUAAAGAUGUCUUUGCAUCACCACCAGAUUGACCUGCGUUGUAUUAGCUAGUAGGUGAGGUAACGGCUCACCUAGGCGACGAUACAUAGCCGAACUGAGAGGGUGAUCGGCCACACUGGGACUGGGACACGGCCCAGACUCCUACGGGAGGCAGCAGUAGGGAAUCUUCGGCAAUGGACGAAAGUCUGACCGAGCAACGCCGCGUGAGUGAAGAAGGUGUUCGGAUCGUAAAGCUCUGUUGUAAGAGAAGAACGGGUGUGAGAGUGGAAAGUUCACACUGUGACGGUAUCUUACCAGAAAGGGACGGCUAACUACGUG